This 466-nucleotide ribosomal RNA is filed under the name uncultured bacterium. RNAcentral's name for it is "partial 16S ribosomal RNA". It matches the Rfam family "Bacterial small subunit ribosomal RNA", at positions 28 to 507 of the family's 1533-position model. The record is from RNAcentral.
GAUGAACGCUGGCGGCGUGCUUAACACAUGCAAGUCGAACGGAAAGGCCACAGCUUGCUGUGGUACUCGAGUGGCGAACGGGUGAGUAACACGUGGGUGAUCUGCCCUGUACUUCGGGAUAAGCUUGGGAAACUGGGUCUAAUACCGGAUAGGAAUCACAUGUGGGUGUGUGGUUGGAAAGCUUUUGCGGUAUGGGAUGAGCUCGCGGCCUAUCAGCUUGUUGGUGGGGUAUUGGCCUACCAAGGCGUCGACGGGUAGCCGGCCUGUGAGGGUGUACGGCGACAUGGGGACUGAGAUACGGCCCAGAAUCCUACGGGAGGCAGCAGUGGGGAAUAUGGCACAAUGGGCGCAAGCCUGAUGCAGCGACGCCGCGUGGGGGAUGACGGCCUUCGGGUUGUAAACUCCUUUCGUCAGGGACGAAGCGAAAGUGACGGUACCUGGAGAAGAAGCACCGGCUAACUACGUG